RNAcentral lists this ribosomal RNA (265 nucleotides) under uncultured bacterium. RNAcentral's name for it is "partial 16S ribosomal RNA". It matches the Rfam family "Bacterial small subunit ribosomal RNA", at positions 88 to 354 of the family's 1533-position model. The record is from RNAcentral.
CCGGCGACCGGCGCACGGGUGAGUAACACGUAUGCAACCUGCCCUCUUCAGGGGGACAACCUUCCGAAAGGGAGGCUAAUCCCGCGUAUAUCGGUUUCGGGCAUCCGAGAUCGAGGAAAGAUUCAUCGGAAGAGGAUGGGCAUGCGGCGCAUUAGCUAGACGGCGGGGUAAUGGCCCACCGUGGCGACGAUGCGUAGGGGUUCUGAGAGGAAGGUCCCCCACACUGGUACUGAGACACGGACCAGACUCCUACGGAAGGCAGCAG